AGGGCAUCUUGUUAAGAUGCUGCAGGUUUAGGGAGGGGCAGAGAGUGUGCCUUUCUAACAAGCUUCCAGGUGAUAUUGAGAUCUUGAUGCAGCUGGUUCUCAGACCGUGCUUUGAGAAGCGAGGCUACGCUUACCUGGCAGUUUGCUUUUCGGAGAUUUAUCCCGAGGGAACAUGGAUAAUAAAAGCUGUAUUGGGUCAAGAAGUUUUCAUCUAAGAAGGAGGAUUGUGCAAUAGAAAGAGGACUAACGAGGAGCAGGAAAACCAGGGCUGAAUUCCAAGUUAUGCAACAAGCUAACUGGGUGCAUUUGGAUAAGCUAUAGCCUCUCUGAGCUACAAGGAGGAGGUUAAGCUGUGUUGAACAUGUAUCCAGAGCACAAACAGAAACACCCAUUUGGAAAUGUCUGGAUUUGAUGAUGUCCAAGGUCUCUUCUUAACGCGGAUAUCCUGUGAUCUCAGUGACAAGCAUAAAGAGGGAAAGAGGAACAAGUCACAAGAGAGUCCCAAAAGUUACAGCUUCUGAGAAAGAAACCAGAGGUCUGAGGAAAGGAUCGUGCAAAGAUGCAAGUUCUCAGGGGUGGGGCUCCCAGGGACUUUAUCACUCAGCAAGCAGCUUGGCUAAUAGAAUGCAGGAUCAGAUAUCGAGCAGCAACUAUUCAGCUAUAGAUACCAGCUUCCUGUGUUUGGAAAAGGUGAAAGAACAGAGAGGAGGGAAUGACUUACAACAAAACCAACAUGUGGCUGCUGCUGCUGCUGAUCAUCUCUAACUGACCACUUUACUGUCAGUGCCAAGCAUUGUGCCAAGCGCUGGAUCAAUAUUAUCUCACUUAAUUGUCAUCCCAGUUCUGUGAGGUUUGUAAGAAUGAUCUACAAGAAGGAAACUUUUUAAAAGAUCAUUGAAUUCCGGGAUCCUUCUGUCUGGACUCAUUCUCUGAAUGAGUGUUUCUUAACAUUUCAGGAAAUCAGAAACUCCUCUCAGAGUUAGAAACCCUCUCCUCGGAAGAACGCACAUGGGAUAGAAACUUGCAUCUUCUCUCACAAGUUAAAUCUCACGUGAAUCCCAGGUGUCCAGGUCCAAGCCUUUCUCUCGGUACAACAGCAAUAACAAAACUGACAGGAAAGAGAGGAAGUUGCCCAUGUGAAUUCGUGAAAACCCGCCCAGUUUCAGCUUCAGGCUCCCACCAGCUGCUACUAUCCAACAUGACCUUUCAUUUUGGAGACUCUGAAAAUAUAUAAAGUUUCCAAGGGAACAACUUGAACAAAUUGUUUCUGAGAGUUCCUAUAAAAUAUGGCUGUAAGAACGAUCCCCAAGACUCUGCCCUGGUUGGCAAGCAAGCCUCAGAGUGCUUGGGUAAGGCUUGGGUGAAUAAUAAUGCCAGCAUCUGUUUGUUGAGCAUAUAAAAUGUGCCAGGCACUUGCUGAAGCACUCUAGCUUACGAGGGAGGUUCUGUUUACAUCUUUACUAUUCUCAGUGUCGUGGAAAGGGCCAUGCUUUGAAGUCAUACAGAACUGAGUUUAAUGCUAGGUCUGUUUAUGAGCAUAGCUGUCCUUGGGUAAGGCGCUUGUGCUCUCUGUCUGCUUCUUUACCUAUAAAAUGGAGCUGAUGGCAUCCCUCAAAUUUGGUUUGACAUUCAAACAGGAGAGUAUGUGCGAUAGACAGAAUAAUGCUCUCCCCUUCCAAAUAUGUCCAUGUCCUAAUCCCCAGAACCUGAAUAUGGUAGGUUAUACUGCAAGGGAAAAUUAAGAUUGCAGAUGAAGUUAACGCUGCUAAUCAGUUGACCUUGAGAUGGGAGAUUAUCCUGGAUUAUCUGCAUAGACCCAAGUAAUCACAAGGGUCCUUAUAAAUGGAAGAUGGAUACAGAAGAGUCAGCGUCAGACCCAUGUGAUGUGAGAAGACUGGACGAACAUUGCUGGCUUUGAAGAUGGAAGGGGGCCACAAGCCAAGGAAUGCGGGCAGCCUCUAAAACAUGGAAAGGGCAAAGAAACAGAUUCUCCCUCGAGCCUCCAGGAAGGAAUGCAUCCCUGCCAACACCCUAUUUCAGCCCAUUGAGGCCCAUUUUGUGUUUCUGACCCCUAGAACUAUCAGAAAAUAAAUUUGUAUUGUUUUGAACCACU
Molecule: long non-coding RNA, 2113 nt
Organism: Equus asinus (donkey)
Lineage: Eukaryota; Metazoa; Chordata; Mammalia; Perissodactyla; Equidae
Source: Ensembl